AAGGAGCCGAUCAGCAUGCCGCGUGGGUGAAGACGGCCUGCGGGUUGUAAAGCCCUUUAGGCGGGGAGGAACGACGGGACGCGAAUACCGUUUCGAAGUGACGUUACCCGCAGAAUAAGCACCGGCUAACUCCGUGCCAGCAGCCGCGGUAAUACGGAGGGUGCGAGCGUUAAUCGGAAUUACUGGGCGUAAAGCGUGCGUAGGCGGUGGGGUCAGUCAGCCGUGAAAGCCCUGGGCUUAACCUGGGAACGGCGGUUGAGACGGCCCGACUUGAGUGGGCUAGAGGAUCGUGGAAUUCCGGGUGUAGCGGUGAAAUGCGUAGAGAUCCGGAGGAACACCGAUGGCGAAGGCAGCGGUCUGGGGCCACACUGACGCUGAGGCACGACGGCGUGGGGAGCAAACAGGAUUAGAUACCCUGGUAGUCCACGCAGUAAACGAUGAGCACUAGACGCCGGGGGGGUGACUUUUCGGUGUCGUAGCUAACGCGCUAAGUGCUCCGCCUGGGGAGUACGGCCGCAAGGUUGAAAC
This 528-nucleotide ribosomal RNA is filed under the name uncultured bacterium. RNAcentral describes it as "bacterial SSU rRNA". It matches the Rfam family "Bacterial small subunit ribosomal RNA", at positions 377 to 900 of the family's 1533-position model. The record is from RNAcentral.